GUGAGGAAUAUUGGUCAAUGGUCGAGAGACUGAACCAGCCAAGUAGCGUGAAGGAUGACUGCCCUACGGGUUGUAAACUUCUUUUAUGCGGGAAUAAAGUGUGGCACGUGUGCCAUUUUGUAUGUACCGCAUGAAUAAGCAUCGGCUAAUUCCGUGCCAGCAGCCGCGGUAAUACGGAAGAUGCGAGCGUUAUCCGGAUUUAUUGGGUUUAAAGGGAGCGUAGGCGGACGCUUAAGUCUGCGGUAAAAUGUCGUUGCUCAACAUCGGCGUGCCGUGGAAACUGGGUGUCUUGAAUGUGCACAAGGUGGAUGGAAUUCGUGGUGUAGCGGUGAAAUGCUUAGAUAUCACGAAGAACUCCGAUUGCGAAGGCAGUCCACUGGGGCAUGAUUGACGCUGAGGCUCGAAAGUGCGGGAAUCAAACAGG
RNAcentral lists this ribosomal RNA (424 nucleotides) under uncultured rumen bacterium. RNAcentral's name for it is "bacterial SSU rRNA". It matches the Rfam family "Bacterial small subunit ribosomal RNA", at positions 354 to 776 of the family's 1533-position model. The record is from RNAcentral.